RNAcentral lists this ribosomal RNA (459 nucleotides) under uncultured bacterium. RNAcentral's name for it is "SSU rRNA". It matches the Rfam family "Bacterial small subunit ribosomal RNA", at positions 26 to 518 of the family's 1533-position model. The record is from RNAcentral.
AGAAUCAACGCUGGCGGCGUGCCUAACACAUGCAAGUCGAACGAGAAAGUGGAGCAAUCCAUGAGUAAAGUGGCGCACGGGUGAGUAACACGUGACUAACCUACCUUUUAGUGGGGGAUAACCUAGGGAAACCUGGGCUAAUACCGCAUAAUACUUACGAGUCAAAGCAGCAAUGCGCUGAAAGAGGGGGUCGCGGUCGAUUAGUUAGUUGGCAGGGUAAUGGCCUACCAAGACUGUGAUCGAUAUCCGGCCUGAGAGGGCGCACGGACACACUGGAACUGAAACACGGUCCAGACUCCUACGGGAGGCAGCAGUGGGGAAUUUUGCGCAAUGGGGGAAACCCUGACGCAGCAACGCCGCGUGGAGGAUGAAGUCCCUUGGGACGUAAACUCCUUUCGAUCGGGACGAUAAUGACGGUACCGGAAGAAGAAGCCCGGCUAACUUCGUGCCAGCAGCCGC